AGAGUUUGAUCCUGGCUCAGGACGAACGCUGGCGGCGUGCUUAACACAUGCAAGUCGAACGGAAAGGCCCUUCGGGGUACUCGAGUGGCGAACGGGUGAGUAACACGUGGGUGAUCUGCCCUGCACUCUGGGAUAAGCCUGGGAAACUGGGUCUAAUACCGGAUAGGACCACACACUUCAUGGUGAGUGGUGCAAAGCUUUUGCGGUGUGGGAUGAGCCCGCGGCCUAUCAGCUUGUUGGUGGGGUAAUGGCCCACCAAGGCGACGACGGGUAGCCGGCCUGAGAGGGUGACCGGCCACACUGGGACUGAGAUACGGCCCAGACUCCUACGGGAGGCAGCAGUGGGGAAUAUUGCACAAUGGGCGCAAGCCUGAUGCAGCGACGCCGCGUGAGGGAUGACGGCCUUCGGGUUGUAAACCUCUUUCAGUAGGGACGAAGCGAAAGUGACGGUACCUACAGAAGAAGGACCGGCCAACUACGUGCCAGCAGCCGCGGUAAUACGUAGGGUCCGAGCGUUGUCCGGAAUUACUGGGCGUAAAGAGCUCGUAGGUGGUUUGUCGCGUUGUUCGUGAAAACUCACAGCUUAACUGUGGGCGUGCGGGCGAUACGGGCAGACUAGAGUACUGCAGGGGAGACUGGAAUUCCUGGUGUAGCGGUGGAAUGCGCAGAUAUCAGGAGGAACACCGGUGGCGAGGGCGGGUCUCUGGGCAGUAACUGACGCUGAGGAGCGAAAGCGUGGGUAGCGAACAGGAUUAGAUACCCUGGUAGUCC
Molecule: ribosomal RNA, 771 nt
Filed under: uncultured bacterium
Lineage: Bacteria
Description: bacterial SSU rRNA
Rfam family: Bacterial small subunit ribosomal RNA
Source: RNAcentral